AGUCGAGGGGUAUAGUAGCAAUACUAGAGACCGGCGCACGGGUGCGUAACGCGUAUGCAAUCUACCUUUUGCAGAGGGAUAGCCCAGAGAAAUUUGGAUUAAUACCUCAUGGUAUAACGACUCGGCAUCGAGAUGUUAUUAAAGUCACAACGGCAAAAGAUGAGCAUGCGUCCCAUUAGUUAGUUGGUAAGGUAACGGCUUACCAAGACUACGAUGGGUAGGGGUCCUGAGAGGGAGAUCCCCCACACUGGUACUGAGACACGGACCAGACUCCUACGGGAGGCAGCAGUGAGGAAUAUUGGACAAUGGGCGCAAGCCUGAUCCAGCCAUGCCGCGUGCAGGAUGACGGUCCUAUGGAUUGUAAACUGCUUUUGCACAGGAAGAAACAACGCUACGUGUAGCGUCUUGACGGUACUGUGAGAAUAAGGAUCGGCUAACUCCGUGCCAGCAGCCGCGGUAAUACGGAGGAUCCAAGCGUUAUCCGGAAUCAUUGGGUUUAAAGGGUCCGUAGGCGGUCUUAUAAGUCAGUGGUGAAAUCUCCCCGCUCAACGGGGAAACGGCCAUUGAUACUGUAGGACUUGAAUUAUUAGGAAGUAACUAGAAUAUGUAGUGUAGCGGUGAAAUGCUUAGAGAUUACAUGGAAUACCAAUUGCGAAGGCAGGUUACUACUAAUGGAUUGACGCUGAUGGACGAAAGCGUGGGUAGCGAACAGGAUUAGAUACCCUGGUAGUCCACGCCGUAAACGAUGGAUACUAGCUGUUGGGCGCAAGUUCAGUGGCUAAGCGAAAGUGAUAAGUAUCCCACCU
Molecule: ribosomal RNA, 806 nt
Filed under: uncultured bacterium
Lineage: Bacteria
Description: bacterial SSU rRNA
Rfam family: Bacterial small subunit ribosomal RNA
Source: RNAcentral